CCUACGGGAGGCAGUAGUGAGGAAUAUUGGUCAAUGGGCGGGAGCCUGAACCAGCCAAGUCGCGUGCAGGAAGACGGCUCUAUGAGUUGUAAACUGCUUUUGUACAAGGGUAAACCUGAAUACGUGUAUUCAGCUGAAAGUACUGUACGAAUAAGGAUCGGCUAACUCCGUGCCAGCAGCCGCGGUACUACGGAGGAUCCAAGCGUUAUCCGAAUUUAUUGGGUUUAAAGGGUGCGUAGGCGGAUUGAUAAGUUAGAGGUGAAAUGUCCGAGCUUAACUCGGGAACUGCCUCUAAUACUGUUGAUCUAGAGAGUAGAUGCGGUAGGCGGAAUGUAUGGUGUAGCGGUGAAAUGCUUAGAGAUCAGACAGAACACCGAUUGCGAAGGCAGCUUACCAAUCUAUAUCUGACGUUGAGGCACGAAAGCGUGGGGAGCAAACAGGAUUAGAUACCCGAGUAGUC
RNAcentral lists this ribosomal RNA (460 nucleotides) under uncultured bacterium. Its description in RNAcentral is "partial 16S ribosomal RNA". It matches the Rfam family "Bacterial small subunit ribosomal RNA", at positions 338 to 795 of the family's 1533-position model. The record is from RNAcentral.